GCCAGGCACAGUGGCUCGUUCCUGUAGUCCCAGCUAUUUGGGACGCUGAGGUGAGAGGAUUGUUUGAGCCCAGGAGUUCUGGGCUGUAGUGCACUAUGCCAAUCAGGUGUCUGCACUAAGUUCGGCCUCAAUAUGGUGACCUCCCAGGAGCGGGGGACCACCAGGUUGCCUAAGAAGGGGUGAACUGGCCCAGAUUAACGGAGCAGGUCAAAACUCCCGUGCUGAUCAGUAGUGGGAUCGCGCCUGUGAAUAGCCACUGCACUCCAGCCUGGGCAACAUAGCGAGACCCCAUCUCU
Molecule: signal recognition particle RNA, 296 nt
Filed under: Aotus nancymaae (Ma's night monkey)
Lineage: Eukaryota; Metazoa; Chordata; Mammalia; Primates; Aotidae
Description: Metazoan signal recognition particle RNA (ENSANAG00000006360.1)
Rfam family: Metazoan signal recognition particle RNA
About the family: The signal recognition particle (SRP) is a universally conserved ribonucleoprotein. It is involved in the co-translational targeting of proteins to membranes.
Source: RNAcentral